GUUAACAACAUAAGAGGCCGAACGUUUCCGUUAUUUUGGCCAUGGCAGCAGUAAUCGGAUGGUACGGACCACUGAUUGACCUGUGCAAUGCUCCUUUUCACGUCGGUGAAUAUGUCCAGCUUCUUGUUUUUGUUCACAAGUCUACUCCUCUUCAGUAUAAAUUAUUACAAGGCGGAGAAGUAGUAAGGACUGACAUUCAGGUGGGUGAUGACACACGCCGAUUUUUUUCUAUUUCAGUAUGGCAAAAGAAUAUGGGAUCAACAAUUGUUGCUGGAAGUGUUGGUUUGUUACAGAAUGUCAAAGUGACACGAUUUGGGGAUUUUGUUGAGGCCAGAACAGUGCAAUGCUCAUCCUUUCGGUGUUUUGUUAACUCGCAUAAAUUGCUAUUCUCUGAAGGAGCAGACAGCUCAAUAGAGGAGCUACGAGUCAGCAUAGCAACAAAGGAAAAGCUCAGGAAAGUUGUUGAAUGGGUGCGGCGAUCUGAACUGACAAUCAGCUAUGUGGGACCACAAAGCUCUAAAAAGAGGAAGCUUGCAUCAAUAAACUGGGCAGUUAAUGAAGACACACAAUCUCAGCACUGUUUUUCUCUGUCAGAUGUACUGUAUAUUACUAGUUCCUGUAGGGCAAAGUUCUCUGCAUCUGUUGGUGAAAUAUUUCUCCCAGUUAAGUGGAAGAGCCUCAAUGAAACUGAAGUGGAACGCAGGUUUAUCAAGCAGAGAUUAUGCACAAUGGGCGAUAGAUGUUUAGCGGAUGAUCUUAUUUGCUCUGGCUGCCAGCACUGUGGCGCUCCUCUGAGUUCAGAGCUUGGGUUUAAUAUUGCUCAAGGGACCAAUCCACUCUAUUGUCCAAAAAGCUCAAAUCACAUUCACACAAUAAGCUUGAUAUAUAGACCCUUUAUGUUGUAUGUCUGGGAUGACUUUGAAUAUAUUCCUCUUCUUGUCACAAAUAAACAAGCUGAAGUAUUAUUUGGAAAUAUUAGUGCCGAAAAUGUUUAUUCCUCCUUUAAAAAAGAGAAAGAAGUUAAAAUCAUGGAGUACAAUGAAGUACAAGUGCAAAAUAACUCUGCUGCAAGGGCCAGUGCUCAGAAUAAUGCUAAGACACAGCUACAAAGGAAACAAACUCGGAACACCUAUCUGAUAUGGUUAAUUUUGCUGAAAACCAUACUGCAACAAGGGAAAUGCAGUCCUUUAAGGUUCCAAGUUAAAGUGAAUCCAUCAAAAGAUGUAGAAAGUGGAAGGUUUGAAUUGGUCUCCAUGUCGAUACCUUGUCCUGUCGCAACGUGACAUUUUCAUUGUACAGCUUGACCAAUUUGUAGUUAGGUAAUACCUCAAGCUGAUCACCAAUGUGAAUGACAAGAGCAUUGGGGAUAUACUGUGCAUCUAUCCAAUUGCCUUCAUGAAAAACUUGAAGCCCCUGUACAUCAUUAGGAACAAGUAUUGUCACGACAGACAUGUCGGUGUGAGCCGGAACGCCGAGUGCAAGGUCAGGACGUGGGCAUGGUGGGUAAUAAUUGAUCUUUAAGAGGUAGAUAAGAUCAUCCCCUCCAACUGCUGUCCUUAGCUCAUUCUCCUCCAGUCCUAUCCCUCUCGACAAAUACCUUAGCAGCCUCUCCUCCACCUUAUGCAUAUACUUUGUGUACUCCUCGUUAGCCUCCCUAAAACCAUCCAUAUUCAGUUAACAGCAAGUUCGGGGUUCGAGUCUCGAUUAAAGCACUUAUCGCUGAACAUCGGGUAAGUGUUAAAAUUCUCUUUGCCUUUUAAAGAAAUCAGUGGGAUUUGACACAAAAUAUGUAGUGGUGCAGCAAGGUGCUAAAUGGUGAUAACAUUCAGUAUAAGAUCCAGGUGUUACCUGUAAGAAGCUGGAUUCUUAGGCCAAAACUUAUAAUUAACAGCAGAUGGAGGAGAUAAUAUGUGAAACAAAUGAUCAACCCAGCCUUUAAUUCCAUUAACUUCUUUCUGUAACUUGGUUCCAUAACCCUCCAAACUCUUAGCCCCAGGUGGCUUUGCAUAAAGCUCUUUCUCUUCUUGAGGCAACUCAAAAAAAGUUGUCCCAACUUCUUUAAGUCUACUAACAACAUCAUCAGGAAUCUCAUGAUUCACAAUCUGAAAAAAACCCCACUUGCAGCUCACAUCGUAGAUUUGAGCCACAAGCUUCUCUUCAUCUUUGAUCGAAAAAUCAAUGACCGGGACUUGAGGGAGGUCUCCUUUGUACGUGGUGAGUCCCGGUCUCUCAUCUUCCGGCCUGACAAAUUCAGCCGGAAUGGUAUCACAUGCACUGGCCUCAGAAGCAACAUCUUGGAUCCUUUUUAUCUCUCCCAUCAGAUUUUCCUGGUUCUGUUUUAUUUCAGUGUGGUUUUGUAGGGAAGUUAUAUGUAGGUUGUAGAGAGGAAGAGAAAAAAGAGGGCAGUAGUUGGAAACGGGGAAUUAGUGAUCAUACAUGUGCAACUGAAUGCCGCUUACAUGUAUCUUCAUGGAAAAUAGAUUUUUUCUUUCUCUCACUAAAUAUGCGGACAAAUGGGAAAGAAGAAUCAUGCUUUUGGUACAUAAAAAUAUCAGUAUAAUCACUGUUUCUCACUGAAUUAA
Daucus carota subsp. sativus is the source of this 2582-nucleotide RNA transcript. RefSeq lists it as uncharacterized. The transcript is spliced from 9 exons. NCBI's taxonomy places the organism in Eukaryota, Viridiplantae, Streptophyta, Magnoliopsida, Apiales, Apiaceae. The record is from RefSeq and is a predicted model, not a curated record.